UGGUUUACAAAUUCCAAACAAGAAAUGAAAUUGGUGAUUUUUUUCAGGUUGUUGUGUUUUCUAAUACUAAACUGGGUAAUAUUGUGAUAGCGUUCUCAUAAUUUGACACUAUAACAGCAGGAAACAUCUAUCUCUGCCAUUGUGCUUCAUAGGUAGACUGUGGCUCUGCCUCAUUCUAUCUUCACUUCUGGUGACAAGGCUAACGGCGAAGUUUCCUACCGGAAGUACAGGAAGUACUGCUGGCAAAGAGAAGUUUCCUACCGGAAGUACCGGAAGUACUGUUGACAAGGCUAAUGGAGAAGUUUCCUACCGGAAGUACCGGAAGUACUGUUGGCAAAGAGAAGAGAAAACAUUAGUAAACCAUGUGCUAGUUGUUGAAGCUUCUCCUCGGUGUUUAUCAAAAAUUCACUUCAAACUUCAUCAUAGAUGACCCCUGUCAUUUGGCUGUAUAACAAGAUCCCUCAAACUGGAUGAGUUAUAAAGAAUAGAAGAUUAUUCUGGUUAUGGUUGUGAAGAUGACAAAGUUGAAGAACAUGAGGCCCAUCUCGGCUAGGUUUCUGGUGCCAGUUCCCUGUAUUUUGUAACCUCCUGCUGUAGGAUUUCCUACUCUGCUGUCUCUGAGGACUUGAAACACCAUCAGAAUAAUCCUGUGAUCCCAAGAGGUGAAUAGCAUCAUGAAAUCCAAGAAAAUCAAGUGAUUUCAGGUUGGAAAAUCUGAGAGCAGAUCAAGGAGCAACAACCCUAUGGAAUAUUUGGCAGCCUGAGCAACUUUGUUGAAGAUAACAAUAUGCAAUGUACCAACCACUGUUAAUCUCCAUCAUUUGGUUUG
Molecule: long non-coding RNA, 829 nt
Organism: Chinchilla lanigera (long-tailed chinchilla)
Lineage: Eukaryota; Metazoa; Chordata; Mammalia; Rodentia; Chinchillidae
Exons: 6
Source: RefSeq, a predicted model, not a curated record